This 532-nucleotide ribosomal RNA is filed under the name Inocybe jurana. Its description in RNAcentral is "eukaryotic LSU rRNA". The stretch from base 206 to 359 matches the Rfam family "5.8S ribosomal RNA". Lineage: Eukaryota; Fungi; Basidiomycota; Agaricomycetes; Agaricales; Inocybaceae. The record is from RNAcentral.
AAAGGCGAUGGAGCUGUCGCUGGCCCUUGGCCGUGCACGCUCGUCGUCCCCUCAUUUCUCCAUCUCUUUGUGCAUCGCUUGUGUAGAUCAUUAGGACUGCUUUGCGAAUGGGGAGACCCUUUUGGUGGGGCUUUCCUUGGAUCUACGUCCUCUUCACAUGCUCCAGUGUAAUAAUUAGGAAGGAAAUUUAUGAAAUUGUUUAUACAACUUUCAGCAACGGAUCUCUUGGCUCUCGCAUCGAUGAAGAACGCAGCGAAAUGCGAUAAGUAAUGUGAAUUGCAGAAUUCAGUGAAUCAUCGAAUCUUUGAACGCAUCUUGCGCUCCUUGGUAUUCCGAGGAGCAUGCCUGUUUGAGGGUCAUUAAUAUCUCAACCACAUCUGUGUGUGUGGCUUGGACUUGGGGGGACAGUGCAGGGCCCUGAGUCCUGCUCCCCUGAAAUACAUGAGCGGCUUUGUGUGACCUCUGCUCUAGGUGUGAUAAAACAUAUCUGCAUCUGACCAGGGCUCCGAGCUGCCAAAGUGUCCCUUUGCUC